AGUCAUUACAGCAGGACGGACUGUGCUGGGAAGUUCAUACUGGCAAUUAAAUGUUUUGUCUGGGAAGUGACACAUAUCACUUCUGCUGACCUGGGCAUAGUUUACAGAGACAAAGGGAUCUGAAAUCAACCAGAAUAAAAUGACCACGGAGUAGACGUGUUACAAAGAAAAAGAGAGGAAAAUCGGCAACAAUAGUGACAACAAGAACAAAAUAACAAGAAAACUCCCACAAAGACAGAAGGAAGACAAUGCAGCUAGUGAGCAAAUUAGGAAUUUGAAAGCAUCUUCUGAGAGCUUGAAUGAUGAAUGUACUGAGGUUCCUAAGGGUGAGGUGAGAAGACCCAUCCAGCAUCACAAGACCCAUUCAAGGUGAUGUGGCUAGUUUGUGCUGAAGGCAGAAGUUUCCAGAAUUCCUGACCCUCAUGCUAUGGAACAGUCCUUGUGAGAAUAUCAGAGAUGAAUGAACAAGCAGGUGGAAGUUCGGAGGAAGACACGAUUAUAGACAAAAUGAAGGCACUACAUUUUCUCUGAUAAAAAAGUCUCUCAACAUUUUUAUAUCCUGUUGGUUUUCUAGGAAACGUAGACAUGCUCUGUAGGAAAUAAUCUCAAAAUGGAC
RNAcentral lists this long non-coding RNA (616 nucleotides) under Equus caballus (horse). RNAcentral describes it as "lncRNA (ENSECAG00000038414.3)". The record is from RNAcentral. Lineage: Eukaryota; Metazoa; Chordata; Mammalia; Perissodactyla; Equidae.